This is a long non-coding RNA of Triticum dicoccoides, 160 nucleotides long. RefSeq lists it as uncharacterized. The record is from RefSeq and is a predicted model, not a curated record. The transcript has 3 exons. NCBI's taxonomy places the organism in Eukaryota, Viridiplantae, Streptophyta, Magnoliopsida, Poales, Poaceae.
CACAAGGCCCUUGUCGACAGUUUCGGUUACUACACUGCACCUGAGCUGUAUAGAAACGAAGCGUUCGACACGAGUAUGCAUGCACAUUCGGCUUCAUCCUUUACAAGGUUGGCCUCAUGUUGACAUGUAAGUUAACCACAAACAAUCUUUUCAUAUCCCG